Molecule: ribosomal RNA, 253 nt
Filed under: uncultured bacterium
Lineage: Bacteria
Description: partial 16S ribosomal RNA
Rfam family: Bacterial small subunit ribosomal RNA
Source: RNAcentral
UACGGAGGGUGCAAGCGUUAUCCGGAUUUACUGGGCUUAAAGGGCGCGCAGGCGGCUUAGUAAGUCAGUGGUGAAAGCCUUGAGCUUAACUCGAGAACUGCCAUUGAUACUAUUAGUCUUGAAUGUUGUUGAGGUUUGCGGAAUGGGUCAUGUAGCGGUGAAAUGCAUAGAUAUGACCCGGAACACCUAUUGCGAAGGCAGCAGGCUAAACAAAUACUGACGCUGAGGCUCGAAAGCGUGGGGAUCAAACAGG